AACGAACGCUGGCGGCAGGCUUAACACAUGCAAGUCGAACGGGUGUAGCAAUACAUCAGUGGCAGACGGGUGAGUAACACGUGGGAACCUUCCUAGGGGUACGGAACAACUCAGGGAAACUUGAGCUAAUACCGUAUACGUCCGUGAGGAGAAAGAUUUAUCGCCCUUAGACGGGCCCGCGUCGGAUUAGCUAGUUGGUGGGGUAACGGCCUACCAAGGCGACGAUCCGUAGCUGAUCUUAGAGGAUGAUCAGCCACACUGGGACUGAGACACGGCCCAGACCCCUACGGGAGGCAGCAGUGGGGAAUCUUGGACAAUGGGCGCAAGCCUGAUCCAGCCGUGCCGCGUGAGUGAAGAAGGUCUUCGGAUUGUAAAGCUCUUUUGCCAGGGACGAUAAUGACGGUACCUGGAGAAUAAGCCCCGGCAAACUUCGUGCCAGCCGCCGCUGUAA
RNAcentral lists this ribosomal RNA (451 nucleotides) under uncultured bacterium. RNAcentral describes it as "partial 16S ribosomal RNA". It matches the Rfam family "Bacterial small subunit ribosomal RNA", at positions 29 to 523 of the family's 1533-position model. The record is from RNAcentral.